UACGAAGGGGGCUAGCGUUGCUCGGAAUCACUGGGCGUAAAGGGUGCGUAGGCGGGUCUUUAAGUCAGGGGUGAAAUCCUGGAGCUCAACUCCAGAACUGCCUUUGAUACUGAAGAUCUUGAGUUCGGGAGAGGUGAGUGGAACUGCGAGUGUAGAGGUGAAAUUCGUAGAUAUUCGCAAGAACACCAGUGGCGAAGGCGGCUCACUGGCCCGGUACCGACGCUGAGGUGCGAAAGCGUGGGGAGCAAACAGG
Molecule: ribosomal RNA, 253 nt
Filed under: uncultured bacterium
Lineage: Bacteria
Description: partial 16S ribosomal RNA
Rfam family: Bacterial small subunit ribosomal RNA
Source: RNAcentral